UAGAUAAUGUACCGUUUGGUGUGGAAUAACCGGGGGAAGCUCUGGCUAAUACCGCAUAAGUUCCCUUGAGGUUCGCCGAUGGGGAAGAAAGCAGGGCAACUUGCGCCGAAUGAUCAGUCUGCGUCCCAUCAGCUAGUUGGUAAGGUAAUGGCUUACCAAGGCGACGACGGGUAGCUGGUCUGAGAGGAUGAUCAGCCACACUGGGACUGAGACACGGCCCAGACCUCUACGGGAGG
Molecule: ribosomal RNA, 236 nt
Filed under: uncultured bacterium
Lineage: Bacteria
Description: partial 16S ribosomal RNA
Rfam family: Bacterial small subunit ribosomal RNA
Source: RNAcentral